This 229-nucleotide ribosomal RNA is filed under the name uncultured bacterium. RNAcentral's name for it is "partial 16S ribosomal RNA". It matches the Rfam family "Bacterial small subunit ribosomal RNA", at positions 568 to 796 of the family's 1533-position model. The record is from RNAcentral.
CGCGUAGGCGGGAAGUUAAGUGUCUUGUGAAAUCCCUUGGCUCAACCAAGGAACUGCUCGGCAAACUAACUUUCUUGAGGCAAGUAGAGGUGCAUGGAACUCUAGGUGGAGCGGUGAAAUGCGUAGAUAUCUAGAGGAACGCCAGUGGUGAAGACGGUGCACUGGGCUUGUUCUGACGCUGAGACACGAAAGCGUGGGGAGCAAACAGGAUUAGAUACCCUGGUAGUCC